Molecule: unclassified non-coding RNA, 329 nt
Filed under: soil metagenome
Description: partial contains 5.8S ribosomal RNA, internal transcribed spacer 2, and large subunit ribosomal RNA
Rfam family: 5.8S ribosomal RNA (bases 1-120)
Source: RNAcentral
GAUGAAGAACGCAGCGAAAUGCGAUAAGUAAUGUGAAUUGCAGAAUUCAGUGAAUCAUCGAAUCUUUGAACGCACAUUGCGCCCUCUGGUAUUCCGGGGGGCAUGCCUGUUCGAGCGUCAUUAUAACCACUCAAGCUCUCGCUUGGUAUUGGGGCUCGCGGUUCCGCGGCCCCUAAAAUCAGUGGCGGUGCCUGUCGGCUCUACGCGUAGUAAUACUCCUCGCGAUUGAGUCCGGUAGGUCUACUUGCCAGCAACCCCCAACUUUCUAUGGUUGACCUCGGAUCAGGUAGGGAUACCCGCUGAACUUAAGCAUAUCAAUAAGCGGAGGA